AGGGUUCGAUUCCGGAGAAGGAGCCUGAGAAACGGCUACUAUUUCUAAGGAAGGCAGCAGGCGCGUAAAUUACCCAAUCCUGACUCAGGGAGGUAGUUAAUAGAAAUAACUUGAUCGGCUCAUUGAGUAUUGAUCGUGUAAUGAACCAAAUGUAGAAACAUUGGUGAAUCCUAUUGGAGGGCAAGUCUGGUGCCAGCAGC
RNAcentral lists this ribosomal RNA (200 nucleotides) under uncultured eukaryote. Its description in RNAcentral is "partial 18S ribosomal RNA". It matches the Rfam family "Eukaryotic small subunit ribosomal RNA", at positions 372 to 574 of the family's 1831-position model. The record is from RNAcentral.